CGUGCUUAACACAUGCAAGUCGAACGGAGCACCCUUGAUUGAGGUUUCGGCCAAAUGAUAGGAAUGCUUAGUGGCGGACUGGUGAGUAACGCGUGAGGAACCUGCCUUUCAGAGGGGGACAACAGUUGGAAACGACUGCUAAUACCGCAUGACGCAUUUUGAUCGCAUGGUCGAAAUGCCAAAGAUUUAUCGCUGAAAGAUGGCCUCGCGUCUGAUUAGCUAGUUGGUGAGGUAACGGCCCACCAAGGCGACGAUCAGUAGCCGGACUGAGAGGUUGACCGGCCACAUUGGGACUGAGACACGGCCCAGACUCCUACGGGAGGCAGCAGUGGGGAAUAUUGCACAAUGGAGGAAACUCUGAUGCAGCGACGCCGCGUGAGCGAAGAAGUAUUUCGGUAUGUAAAGCUCUGUCAGCAGGGAAGAUAAUGACGGUACCUGACCAAGAAGCCCCGGCUAACUACGUG
RNAcentral lists this ribosomal RNA (464 nucleotides) under uncultured bacterium. RNAcentral describes it as "bacterial SSU rRNA". It matches the Rfam family "Bacterial small subunit ribosomal RNA", at positions 43 to 507 of the family's 1533-position model. The record is from RNAcentral.